This 253-nucleotide ribosomal RNA is filed under the name uncultured bacterium. RNAcentral describes it as "partial 16S ribosomal RNA". It matches the Rfam family "Bacterial small subunit ribosomal RNA", at positions 524 to 776 of the family's 1533-position model. The record is from RNAcentral.
UACGUAGGUGGCGAGCGUUGUCCGGAUUUACUGGGCGUAAAGAGCGCGCAGGCGGCUGAUCAAGUCCGAUGUGAAAUCUCCCGGCUUAACUGGGAAUCCGCAUUGGAAACUGAUCGGCUUGAAGGUGGGAGAGGGUAGCGGAAUUCCCGGUGUAGUGGUGAAAUGCGUAGAUAUCGGGAGGAACACCAGUGGCGAAGGCGGCUACCUGGCCCAUUCUUGACGCUGAGGCGCGAAAGCUAGGGGAGCAAACGGG